CGUGCAUGAAGGAUGCUCGAAGUCGAAGCUAAAAGGAGUUGGACAUACAGGUUCUUUUGCCACAUCGUGGUGUGGUGAUAAGUAUGCAUGGCCGAGAGCUUCAUCAACUAUACACACAGCAGAAGCAACAGUUAAAUGCAAUAAAGAACUAAACCUAAUUAUUUUAUGGUCGGUUUGCGUUCAUGAUUAAACAGCAUACCAAACUGGUUUGGUUAACUAGUAGUUAUAGAAAGAACUCCAUAAAUGAACAUAUGCAAUUUUGUUGUUGAAAUGUAUGUGUUUCUUUGUUGAACAUAUGUGAUUCUUUGCAAUGAAUAUAUUUUAGUUGUUUAUAUAUAUACUAUUGGUUGAUUUCCGUCUUGCAUCAAAUUCAAGAUCAUAUCAGGCCAUAUUCAUCAGUAAACCGGCAAAGUAUGUUUUCAGUUUAACACCCUUCUGCAUAUAGAAUCUCUAACAAAAACCUCAUGAAUGUUGUUGUUGUUACCUGAGAUACGUCGGUUUGGAUCAAAGACGAGCAUUCUCUCCAGCAAAUCAAUAGCGGUAGGGGGCAUUUUGGGGAAUCUAGCAGCAAACUCUUGUUUAGGGUAUCGUGGAAGUUGCCUCACGUAUCUUCUCGCGUUGUCACUGCGAAGGAAACCGAGACUGGAGUUGUCUGGAGAGCCUACAAGCUGUAUAUAUUCAACAAGUGAAAUCAGAAAGGUAUCUGCUGUUUUCAGACAAAGGUGAAAAAACUGAUGUUUUUUCUUUCUUUGUACCUCUGUGAUGAGCCUAAGCUGAUGAACAUAGUCUUUCCCAGGAAACAACGGUUGUCCCGUCAUGAUUUCACCGAAUAUGCAACCAACAGACCAUAUAUCGAUAGCUGCAGUGUACUCCGAGCAGUUAAGAAGCAGCUCAGGAGCUCUGUACCAACGGGUAACCACAUACUCGGUCAUGAAGUCUGUGUCUGAAGUUGUUCUCGCAAGCCCAAAAUCACCAAUCUUUAGCUCGUGUUUGGAGUUAAGCAGCACGUUGCUUGGCCUUAAAUCACGAUGUAAUAUGUUGGCUGAGUGCACGUACUUAAGCCCUCUUAAGAGCUGGUACACAAAGAACUGCCAAGAAAAAAAAAGAUUAGAUCAGAGUGUUCCCACAGUUACAUGGGAUUAGAUCAAGACUUACGCGGCACUGGUCGUGGCUUAAGGUUUGCUUAGAACGGAGGAUACGCUGGAGAUCAGUGUCCAUUAACUCAUAGACAAUGUAAACAUCGUUGAAGAUAUCACGUUGUGGAGGUCUUACAAUAUCUUUGAUGGCUAUGACCUGAAAGAAUCCAAACCAAAGGCUUUAAGAAACAGAGGAAACAGAGUAUCCUCUGUUUUUCUCGUCCUUGAAGAAAGUUAAUAUGUGAGGUGAUCAAUCGUUAUAAGGCUUACGUUCUCAUGAUCCAUGUGCCUGAGAAGCUUGAUUUCACGUAGAGCUCUCUUAGCAUCAAUGAUGUUAUCAAAUUUUAUCGAGUUGUUUAUAAAACUGUUGUUAUAUGAUUCAUGUAAAUUUUCAGUGUUGAUUUAAAAGCCCAAGAAAAUCCAUCUAUACUGACUUUUUUAUUUUUUUCUGUGAUUUAAAUUAAAAAAAAUAAAACUUUUGAUAAGUUAUGUAAACUCAGAACAAGUAUUUAACUUUAGAAAGCAUUUACAUGUUUCAAACUUAUAAUAUAUACAUAUAUAAUGUUUAAAAUUAUGUAUAUAAAACCUGUAUAAAAUGUGCUUAAAUAUGUUUCUCUUCUUUAAUGUGUUAAUUGUACUAUAUAUAACAUUAUUUUAAAAUUUCAAAAAGUUUAUGUCACAUUCAAAAACUAUCAAUAAAAAAUAUAAUUCUCCAUCUACAACCAGAAAAAAGAAAAACUAUAAACAUAUAAAUUUAAAUUAAGAAAAACUAACAUUGGAAAAACAAAAAAUUAAUGUAAAAGAAACAAACCGACAAAUAAUAUUAUAAAUAAAAUAAAUUUAUAAGGCACAAUCCGCGCGAAGCGCGGAAAAAAUCUCUAGUAUAACUAAUAAGAGCAUAAAUACAUGUCAACUAUUUUUAACCUAUGUGAAAAUAUUAAAUUGACACUUUUUGCAAAAUGGAUAGAAUAAGAUCCUUCAUCAUAACCGAAGAAGUUGAUAAGAAUCGAAUUCUGCAAUGGUUUAAUAUAUAGAGAUAGAUAGUAAAUGUAUGUGUCUCAUCAUUAUAGCAUUUAUUCAACCAAAAUAAAAAUGAGUUUACAAAGAACUUGUGAUAAAGAAAAACAGAGAGAUUUGAAAAGGGAUCAUCAUCAUCAAACAUGCUCAUUUUGUUGUUGUCUCCUCAAUGGUCAGGAUUGAAUUUGACAGACUCCUUGUAGAUAAGCUCUUUUAUGUGUUCUUCCGUGCAUGAAGGAUGCUCGAAGUCGAAGCUAAAAGGAGUUGGACAUACAGGUUCUUUUGCCACAUCGUGGUGUGGUGAUAAGUAUGCAUGGCCGAGAGCUUCAUCAACUAUACACACAGCAGAAGCAACAGUUAAAUGCAAUAAAGAACUAAACCUAAUUAUUUUAUGGUCGGUUUGCGUUCAUGAUUAAACAGCAUACCAAACUGGUUUGGUUAACUAGUAGUUAUAGAAAG
This 2612-nucleotide long non-coding RNA is filed under the name Brassica rapa (field mustard). Its description in RNAcentral is "long non-coding RNA (BRAP_LNC003238)". Lineage: Eukaryota; Viridiplantae; Streptophyta; Magnoliopsida; Brassicales; Brassicaceae. The record is from RNAcentral.